This 1323-nucleotide long non-coding RNA is filed under the name Trifolium pratense (red clover). RNAcentral describes it as "long non-coding RNA (TPRA_LNC002688)". The record is from RNAcentral. Lineage: Eukaryota; Viridiplantae; Streptophyta; Magnoliopsida; Fabales; Fabaceae.
UCGACGGCAAAUAGACAUUUCAUUUAAUCAUAUGUAAUCGUUAAAUUAUUGAUAUUUUAAGGUCUUAAUAAUGACAUCUCACUAAAAUAAAUCAGACUCCUCCUUCAACAACUCCUUCACCUGCAUGUUCAGAUCCUCCUUCAACUCAGCGUCAACGUAACAAGAAAACUGCUUGUUGGUAAAUGCUCUCAAACAUUGAUUGCCCCUAUGGGGAAAGGUGUUAGUUUAGUCACGAAAUUUGUGACAACUUCAUGGUUGAAGGUAAAUGUGAUAUUGUUGAAAGUCCAUUAUCACAUCAUAAGGUUUACUUGUGUCAUGAUUGGGCAUUACAUGAGAGUUACACUUUGGGUGACAGCUGCCCGUAUAUGGAGUUAUACGUACUCUCAUGGUUGGGAUGAUACCAUAGGUCCCGUGGCUCCAUUUUAUUGUGUCAGUAUCUGCGUUUACUACUUUGCAUGGGAAGUCUAUCCAUACGGGGAAUUUUGUUUCUUCAGACAUACUCUCUUGGAUAGAGAAGAAGCUUUUAGGACUACAUAGCAUUCAAGCAUGGUGGCAAGUGCAUUAGAGAUGCCCUCCAACAUCCAACAUGCAGCUCACAUGCAUUUUAUGCCCUUUAAAAUCUCUCAUCGUUUAUAGUAUUUUCAGUUUUAUGUACGGAUAGUCUUUUGACUGUAGAUGAUGUUUCAUCAAUAAUACUGAUGUUAAAUUCCUCUUUUUGAUUGAAUGGGAAAAAUAUGUUUGUAUCCUAAAAAAAAUCAUUUACUCAUUACAUACUUUUUUUUUCUUCAACCAAAUUAAUAUUUACUCAUUUGUUAAAUAAAUCCAUUUACUUACUUUUUUUUUACUAUAAUACAUUUUGUUUCUAUCUUCAACGAAUCAAAAACAAAUUUAAUAUACUUUCUUUUCUAUCACCAAUUAUUCUUCUUCUUUUUUUCUCAGUUUUUUUCCUAUCAAACAAUACAUUAUUCUACACACCCCACACAAUUUGACGCCCGUUACUUGUGUCCAUAAAAAAAUUAAAGCGUUAAAUAUGUAUUUGAUUCAUCUAAAUAUGUUAACUUUUAUCAUUAGUCCAUCUAAAAUUAUUCUUCGAACUUUGGUCCUUUAAAUUUGUUGUUUUUAAUUUUAAUCCCUACUUUUUUUUUAUAAAAGUUCACGUAUCAUAUUUCAAAUGACUUUUUUAAAAAAAUAUAUCUUUCUUAAAAUCUUAAAAUACUAUUAGUUUAAUAAGUUAACUAUUUAAUCACUAAUUCUUGUUGAUUUAUCUAUAAUUUCAAAUUAAAGAUUAAAUAGUUGAAUAAGUAAAUUAUUGAUUUUUUUUUU